CUUCCUUCUCCCUGCCUGGCCCUGCUGCCAGUGUGUCAUGGAGCCCUCAGAGCUGUUGGCUUUGCAAGUCUGCAGUGCGCUGGUAUUUCACAGCUAAUCCUCUUCUGGAAGAGUUGGGAGUAGUUGUGUGUGCAGAAUACAUUAUUGGUAGCACAGUAACAGACGUGUGAGAGGAAGCUAUGGCAUCAAAGGAGCCGGCCUCUUUCGUGGACAGAACCACCUGGGAUUUCCUCAACCUCCUGGACAUGCUGGGGAGCCGGAACGGACGGGUAGGGGUGAUGGAGGUGGACCAUGCUGAGUCAAGAGCUCCCUCAUUGUUGGUGGAUUUUACCCGGGACCUGUGUGGCACAGGGGACAUCAAGCACAAACCGCAGCAGGCAGAGAAUGAGGGAAAGGAAGAGGAAGACCUGGUUCCCCCACAUCUGAUUUUUAUGCUAUGGCAAGCCAGCGUGUUGAAAAGGCUCAUGCAGUGGGAUCACCUGGAGGAAGCUGUCCGGGAUGUGAGGAGCCUCCUCCCCUGCCUGCCUCAUGUGCUGGUGCUCGUGAUGAUCCGUCCUGACUCCCCCGAGCAGCUGGACCAGGCAGUGAGAGCGCUGAGGAGAAUGCAGUGUGUGCUGGAUGGGGCCCUGCAACUGACUGUAGAGACUGCAAUUUACAGCCCAGGCCAGCCUGGAGGCGUCCUGGAGGCAAAGAGAGCUGCCUGUAGGGCACUGAGAGAAGCCUUGAACUGCCAUGAAGGUAACUGGGUAGCACAGCUAGACACAGGGGUGAGGAACACAAAAACAAGCUCAGGGCAGAGCCUGAGGGACAGUGUAGACAGAAGUGGUGCUUGUUGACUGGAUUCAGAUACAAGACAAGCUGGACCUUGCAGGCAAUAUGAGCCAGAAAUGACAAUGAGGGUUUACACGCUGGGAUGGGGAUGGACUAUGUGUCCAAGCUAAGUGUGUUCCCUCUUCCAAGUCAGAUGGUGUUGGGUCUACCUUGCCCCAAAACACACAUGGCAGUGGAAAUGCUGCUCACUGUAAGAGCUGCGGUUCGGACUCCCUGAUGGAGCUUUCUGUGAUGAUGUUAACUGCUCCACAGCCUCACUGACCCUGAGUUCUUCAUUGGAGGGAUGUGCCAACCUUUUUUGGGUGGCCAUAGGCCUUAGCUUUGAAAGGAUGGUGUCAGAUGUUCUUCUAUCAUUUGUGUUCUUCCCCUAGAAGUCGACUCCCAGGAGCCAUUUGUUAUUUCACUCCCGGAGCUCAGAUACUGCCGAGUUCUGCCUGAACGCAGGCAAGAGAAAGUAUCAAAGACAGAUGGAGAAUGAAUUCCCUUGGGCAUCUGAAUCUGUCAGGUUGGUUUUAGCACUAUCCUGCUGGAUGUCCCUUUGCAGAGCACUUCCUUCCUGCUGACUUGCUUGUCUGCCUAGACCUGUAUGGAUGAGAUUCAGUGUGUGGCUGCUGCCAGAAGGGGACAGUGCGCCCUCAGCAUCGCACUGUCCUUGCCACAGAGCUCAGAGUUCUUUGCUGCAUUGGCUGAACAGUCUGCCUUGGGAAUUUUUUUAUCAAAAGUCCCUGGGUUUGUGCUUUGCAUUAAAUGCCUUGCUUGAUUAUCAAAAUGUCCCUAAGAAACCUGCUCCUAAGGGAACUGUCAGCAGAAAGGGAAUCAGAGCAGGCCAGAAGCCUCUAAAUUUUAAACUGUCCCAAAACUGAAAUAGUGAGAGAAACUCAAGACUAAGACCUCAGACCAUGUUUUCCCAGGAGAACCUGGAUGCAGGAAUCUUUGGUACAUGGUUCUCAUCAGGAACAAAGCUCCUGAAGCUCUCCAGGGUUCUUUGUAGCAGGGAGUUGACCUUGCAUACAAGCGGGUACACAUCCAGCAGAUUGGGUUUCUGGGAUGGGUUAUUUUGGAUGGGAGGGACUGUGGGAGCAGUGGAAUAUUUUUAAAUCCAAUUACCCACUUAAUAGCUGAACUCAUUUCCCAUCCUCUCUGGGCACAGCAAAGCACUAUAGGUAGCUGCACUUUUUUGCAUUGGGAGUUUAUAUGUAUUUUUUCUCUGGUGUUUUUUGUAGAUCUUUUGUCAUCCUAAGAUCUUCAUUAUCAUCAAAAAAGGAUUAAACACCUGCUAUUUAUCUAA
Long non-coding RNA from Passer domesticus (house sparrow), 2119 nucleotides. RefSeq lists it as uncharacterized. The record is from RefSeq and is a predicted model, not a curated record. NCBI's taxonomy places the organism in Eukaryota, Metazoa, Chordata, Aves, Passeriformes, Passeridae. The transcript has 2 exons.